UUAAGUUCAGCGGGUAGCCCUACCUGAUUUGAGGUCAGAGUCAUAAGUGCGCGAUGGCGGGUUAUAAGCCAGCUUAAGACUACAAACAAGACGAAACUUAUUACGUCUGCCGUGGAAGUCCUAAUCCAACUAAUGCUUUUAAGACGAGCCAUUACUGGCACACGUCCAAGUCCAAGCCACCCUCAGAUCAGAAACCUGAA
RNAcentral lists this unclassified non-coding RNA (200 nucleotides) under Rhynchogastrema sp. RNAcentral describes it as "partial internal transcribed spacer 2". The record is from RNAcentral. Lineage: Eukaryota; Fungi; Basidiomycota; Tremellomycetes; Tremellales; Rhynchogastremaceae.